This 23-nucleotide microRNA is filed under the name Danio rerio (zebrafish). RNAcentral's name for it is "Dre-Mir-217-v2_5p (mature (guide))". Lineage: Eukaryota; Metazoa; Chordata; Actinopteri; Cypriniformes; Danionidae. The record is from RNAcentral. RNAcentral also lists the same sequence under 25 other names.
AUACUGCAUCAGGAACUGAUUGG